RNAcentral lists this long non-coding RNA (563 nucleotides) under Monodelphis domestica (gray short-tailed opossum). Its description in RNAcentral is "lncRNA (ENSMODG00000051429.1)". Lineage: Eukaryota; Metazoa; Chordata; Mammalia; Didelphimorphia; Didelphidae. The record is from RNAcentral.
UCACUGCCAUAUGGUGUGCUGGAAAUAGUGAUGUUUUAGAAGAUCUGAUUUUGAAUCCUAGCUCUCAGCCUUACCAGCUGGGUGAUCUAUGGAGAACCACUUUCUUUUUCUUUUUCUUUCUUUUUUUUUAAUUUUAUAGUAUUUUAUUUGAUCAUUUCCAUGCAUUACUCAUUAAAGACAAAGAUCAUUUUCUUUUCUUUCUUUUUUUUUAAUUUUAUAGUAUUUUAUUUGAUCAUUUCCAUGCAUUUUUUCAUUAAAGACAAAGAUCAUUUUCUUUUCCUCCCUCCCACCCCCCGUGGCCGACGCGUGAUUCCACUGGUAUCAUAUGUGUUCUUGACUUGAACCCAUUGCCAUGUUGUUAGUAUUUGCAUCAGAGUGUUCGCUCAGAGUCUUUCCUCUGUCAUGUCCCCUCAGCCAUUGUAGUCAGGCAGUUGCUUUUCCUUGGUGUUUCUACUCCCUCAGUUUGUCCUCUGCUUUUGGAUAGUGUUUUUUUCUCCUUGAUCCCCUGCAGAUUGUGCAGGGACAUUACACUGCCACUAAUGGAGAAGUCCAUUAUUAGACAU